CUUCUCAUUUGCGCUGAUUCCUCUCUUCAUCUACCACCGUCGACCCUCCUCCUCCACCUCUCGGAUUCCUUUUCUUCUCUGACGCCGACGCCACAAGGGAACUGAUCACCGGCGGCAGAGCAUCACCUUAUCUCCUCCACCGAUCGCCUGACGUUUACUGGCGGUUGCCCUUCUCUCCGGGUCGCUGCCGUGCGAGUAGAGCUUCCACCAUGAAGGGAAAAGGUCGAGCCCUAGCCUGAGCUCUUCUCCUUGUUCCCUGAUCUUCCGCCACAUCUCCCUCUGCCUUUUUGCAUCAUCACUGAUCACCACACCCGACGCUAUUGCCUCCUCCGCAUGAGGCCAGAUCAGUGAUGCCGUAGUCAUCGCUGUCGUGAGGGUGAGCCGUCGGACUCCUCUCGAUCUUGCCUGAGGUUGCCACCCCUUGGCUGUGUUCCAGCUCCUGAUCCGCCGAUGCUGGGUUGAGCGCCACCUAAUGCAGCCUCUGUUCGACUGCCCCGACACUUUUCUUCUCCGAUUAUCCUCUGCUUUUGGAUCAGCCACCCUUCUUCUGGCAGCAGCUUCACAGUAGCUUCGAUAAUGAGUUUCCAGUAGUAGCUCCUUCAGCAAUGAAUUAAUAGGGAUCAUCUGAGGUUUAGGUAGCAGGUAAAGGAUUUAUGGAAUUGCCUGGAGAUCCUAUCCGCCAGUUCCAUAUCACAUCGAGCUUCUUCUACCGUUAGUGCUUUCUUUCACAUUGUUGGUUUUGUACUUGUUCUUGUAUUUGUGUAUUCUUUUGUAUGGAGUUUUGUUUUGUGGUAUCUUAUAUUUGGUUUGGUGAUGAUGUGUCAAGUCGAGCUGGCUCACAGUGAGUUGUUUUGUUCAUUUCAUGUUCAUUAUUUUGUGAUUUCUGCUGUGCUAUAUUUCAGCCGAGUGAGCUACAUUAUUAACUGUGUGGUUAUGCUAUGUUUCAACUG
Zingiber officinale is the source of this 950-nucleotide long non-coding RNA. RefSeq lists it as uncharacterized. The record is from RefSeq and is a predicted model, not a curated record. Lineage: Eukaryota; Viridiplantae; Streptophyta; Magnoliopsida; Zingiberales; Zingiberaceae. The transcript is spliced from 3 exons.